UGGGGAAUAUUGCGCAAUGGGCGAAAGCCUGACGCAGCGACGCCGCGUGGGGGAUGAAGGCCUUCGGGUUGUAAACCUCUUUCGGCAGGGACGAAGUUGACGUGUACCUGCGGAAGAAGCGCCGGCUAACUACGUGCCAGCAGCCGCGGUAAUACGUAGGGCGCGAGCGUUGUCCGGAAUUACUGGGCGUAAAGGGCGCGUAGGCGGAUUUGCAAGUCAGGGGUGAAAUCCCGGGGCUCAACCCCGGAACUGCCUUUGAUACUGGCGGUCUUGAGUUCGGGAGAGGUGAGUGGAAUUCCGAGUGUAGAGGUGAAAUUCGUAGAUAUUCGGAGGAACACCAGUGGCGAAGGCGGCUCACUGGCCCGAUACUGACGCUGAGGCGCGAAAGCGUGGGGAGCAAACAGGAUUAGAUACCC
This 416-nucleotide ribosomal RNA is filed under the name uncultured bacterium. RNAcentral's name for it is "bacterial SSU rRNA". It matches the Rfam family "Bacterial small subunit ribosomal RNA", at positions 355 to 787 of the family's 1533-position model. The record is from RNAcentral.